Molecule: long non-coding RNA, 1478 nt
Filed under: Ursus maritimus (polar bear)
Lineage: Eukaryota; Metazoa; Chordata; Mammalia; Carnivora; Ursidae
Description: lncRNA (ENSUMAG00000009063.1)
Source: RNAcentral
AAUUCCCCGGGCCCACCCCUUCCUUAAUGAUCUAUGGGUGUGGAGCAGGGAGCUGCCAGAAUGCAUUUGCCACAUGAAAGUAAGUCACCCUGCACUGUGACACAGAGUGAUUUCUUCUAAAGAGUCUUCCCCUGUGAAGUGCUCCUCAGAUCUGCCUCCUCCCUGCUCCCUUUUGAUGAGCAACCCCAUGCACAGCACAGGAGGAAUAGCAGGGGUGGAGGCUGGCAAGAAGAAUGCCAACAGAACACCUUCUGGGGCCAGAGAGGAAGAUGCCCCGCCUGACAGCCCAGACUCCCUGCUGCUGGCAGAAGAGGACUCAGCCACCAACAAACACCAGCACCUGUGCUGUCAGGGGACAGGGGAGUCAAGUGGCUGUCCCUCGGCUUCCCCAGAGAGCAAAGCAGAUGAGAGGACUGGGGACAGUCCCAGCUGCUCCCCCCCCCCGCGACCCAGCCAUUCUGGAGCUCUUUAAAAAGCUUUGUUUCCCACUCUGGGGGCAGGACCAAGAUGCAGCAAGCAGGUUGGACUCCCAAAAAUGUAACCAGAUGUGAGAAGUGUCUCCUCCUACCUCUUAAGCUGUCUCCCUGGGAUCUGGACUUUCCAUUCAAGCUGGGGCCCAUCAAUCACGCUGCAGCUCCCCAGCUCGCUGGCUCUUGGGGUGAAUGGGGGCUGAGCGCAGUGUGCAGGGCUGAGCGCAGUGUGCAGGGCUGAGGCUGAGGCGGGCCGCGCUACCCACAGCCCUGCGUCCUGGCCGGGCCUCCUGGCACUCUGCUCCUUCAUCUGGGCGGGUGCAGGGUGCUGAAUCACUUCCCCCACUGCUCUCCAGCCUUGACCUGGAGCCCGAAGUCUGACCCCCCAUUCUGGGCUUUGCUGUGGGAUUUUUGUUUUAAGGAUAUGACUGUUGGGGAGCGGGGGGGAGGGGAGAAAGUUAUGUCUAGCUAACUUUUUAUUUUAUUUUGUUUUAUUUUUAUCUUAUCUUUCCUUCCUGUUUCUGACAAGUCCACUUUUGCCCUUAAUCAUCACGUCACAAAUGGAGAAGCCAGGAUUCACAGAUCAGAGCAAGAAACUGGGGGGGCACGGGAAGGCCUUCUCAGGGUUCCCAUGCACCUAGAGAAGCCAAGAACGUGAAUGCAUCUGCAGCAAAACCCCUGGUGUUCUCUGUCCUUCCCUCUCACUCCCACACCCCCAGAGCCCAAGAGGAUAGACUGCUCCAGCUCCUAGAAGUGGCCUCCAGUUGCCCUUAGAGGUGAGCUGUUUUCUGUUUGCUGGCAGCUGUAACCUCCAGAUAAUUGUUACUAUUACUGCUGUCUUUUCUCCUGGGAGUUCAAAAUGGGAUCUCAUUUGCCCUCUCACUCAUAUGGUUAAGAAGCAAGUAGGCGGGACAGAGAGGAUCUUUGUUCUCGAGUUCAGCCAGGGGCAGUGGGCUGAGGUCACCCAGCCAGGCAGGAUGGAACCCAGCACUUCGGGGCGGGGCCAGC